UGAGAACUGAAUUCCAUGUGUUGUAAUUGAAUCUCUGUCAGACCCAUGGGGCUCAGUUCUUCA
Molecule: microRNA precursor, 63 nt
Filed under: Chrysemys picta bellii (western painted turtle)
Lineage: Eukaryota; Metazoa; Chordata; Testudines; Emydidae
Description: Cpi-Mir-146-P4_pre stem-loop
Source: RNAcentral